Non-coding RNA from Pangasianodon hypophthalmus (striped catfish), 426 nucleotides. The record is from the annotation of a RefSeq genome assembly. NCBI's taxonomy places the organism in Eukaryota, Metazoa, Chordata, Actinopteri, Siluriformes, Pangasiidae.
AUGGUGCAUGGGACUCUGGCUGUAGAGAAUCCUUACCAGUCUCAGCCCAAAAGCAGAGCGGGUCCCGUGGUGAAGCCAUCCGUGUCUCUGCUCUCUCCGUCCCCUCUGCAGCUGUGUGACGAAUCGGCCUCGCUGCUCUGCCUGCUGUCUGGCUACUCUCCACAGGGGGCGCUGGUUAGCUGGACAGUGGACGGCUCAGAGGUGAAGAACGGGGUUCUGACCAGCACAGAAGAAGAGAAGAACGGCCGUUACAGCCGCAGCAGCACCCUGACCCUCAGCAAAGACCUCUGGGAAAAGGGGGAGGAGUUCAGCUGUAAGGUCUCCCAUAACAACGUCAAUCAUCCAGUCACGUUCAGAAAGAGUCAGUGUGAAGGCUAGUGGAUCCAAGAUAGAGUUUAACAUAGAGCUGCUUCUGAUCCAUCUACA